GAGGGUGUAGCUCAGUGGUAGAGUGAGUGCUUAGCAUGCACAAGGUCCUGGGUUCAAUCCCCAGCACCUCCA
Molecule: transfer RNA, 72 nt
Filed under: Camelus bactrianus (Bactrian camel)
Lineage: Eukaryota; Metazoa; Chordata; Mammalia; Artiodactyla; Camelidae
Also listed under: 2 other names
Rfam family: tRNA
About the family: Transfer RNA (tRNA) molecules are approximately 80 nucleotides in length. Their secondary structure includes four short double-helical elements and three loops (D, anti-codon, and T loops).
Source: Rfam by way of RNAcentral